Molecule: ribosomal RNA, 798 nt
Filed under: Triticum aestivum (bread wheat)
Lineage: Eukaryota; Viridiplantae; Streptophyta; Magnoliopsida; Poales; Poaceae
Description: partial small subunit ribosomal RNA
Source: RNAcentral
AUGGCUCACCUCAGAAGCCUGGUUGCGUUCUUGUGCGUGAUGCUGGCCUCCCUCAUGUUCGUCGCACAGGCCGUGCUCGCCGCCAGAGGUGAUUUAAGCAACGUGAAGCGAGAUGGUGUGAGGGGAACCUGGGCGUCCCCUUCCUACCAGGUGCGGCCGGGGCCGCUCCCGCGCUAUCCUCCAAAUGCUUUCCCUCGUGAGCACAAACGCCGGUUUCAUAGUGUUUGUAUGAGCCGACUCCCGUUUUCCAAUUUUGGAGCUCUACAUCUUAUCCAAGAAGCUGAGAUUUGCCAUCGGGUCCUUUUGAGACUUUCAUCGCAAACCGGUCGGAGGCAACCAGUGGACUUGUACCGUUUGAAUCAGUUCUCCUUGCCUCUGGAUGUCCAAGCUAUUUGUCGUAUACGGCUAUGUCCACGUUUUGGGGAUGAUUUCAUUGCUUGGGAACCCGAGAAGAAUGGCCAAUUCACAGUUCGGAGUGCUUACUGGCUACCUACGGGGGAGCCCUAUGCUCCUUCAUUAGCUUCUACAAACAGCGCCCGUGAUGGACACAUGGAGUCUGUGGCAGAGAGGAUGAAGACGUUCUUCAUGUCUUAUGUGCUUGUGAUAAUGCGCGUCGGCUGUGGCGAGCUAUGUAGUCUCAGGCCUAUGGGCCAAUGGGGGUUUACCCUGGUGAGCGAAAUGAUUCUGAUGGGCCAUCCCUGGGCGAACAUUAAGGAAGGGGUGAGAGACUCGUUGGUUCGCCUCCCCGACGGCCCGUCGCUAGCUGUUGGGGUCCUUUGUAAUUGCAAGGGCAUAUAA